RNAcentral lists this ribosomal RNA (408 nucleotides) under uncultured bacterium. Its description in RNAcentral is "bacterial SSU rRNA". It matches the Rfam family "Bacterial small subunit ribosomal RNA", at positions 266 to 663 of the family's 1533-position model. The record is from RNAcentral.
CACCAAGGCUAAGACGGGUAGCUGGUCUGAGAGGAUGGUCAGCCACACUGGGACUGAGACACGGCCCAGAGUCCUGCGGGAUGCAGCAGUCAGGAAUAUUGCGCAAUGGAGGAAACUCUGACGCAGCAACGCCGCGUGGGUGAUGAAGGCCUUCGGGUCGUAAAGCCCUGUCGGAGGGGAAGAAAAGCUGUCUGGCUAAUAUCCAGGCGGCAUAUGACGGUACCCUCAAAGGAAGCACCGGCUAACUCCGUGCCAGCAGCCGCGGUAAGACGGAGGGUGCAAGCGUUGUUCAGAUUGACUGGGCGUAAAGGGCGUGUAGGCGGUUGGCCAAGUCCGAUGUGAAAGCCCGGGGCUCAGCCUCGGAAGUGCAUCGGAAACUAGCCGGCUGGAGCGCGAUAGAGGAGGGUA